AUUGAACGCUGGCGGCAGGCCUAACACAUGCAAGUCGAGCGGAGCGGCGGAGGGGGGAGGAAUGCUAAGGAAUGUGCCAGGGAGUGGGGGAGAAGGACAGGAAAUGGGCGCUGAUACCGCAUACUAUCAGAUGAGAAUAGGUCGGGUUAGCUAGUUGGUGGGGUAAAGGCCUACCAAGGCGAAGAUCCGUAACUGGUCUGAGAGGAUGAGCAGUCACACUGGAACUGAGACACGGUCCAGACUCCUACGGGAGGCAGCAGUGGGGAAUAUUGGACAAUGGGCGCAAGCCUUAUCCAGCCAUGCCGCGUGUGUGAAGAAGGUCUUCGGAUUGUAAAGCACUUUCAGUGGGGAGGCGUUACCAACAGAAUAAGCACCGGCUAACUCCGUGCCAGCAGCCGCGGUAAUUC
RNAcentral lists this ribosomal RNA (407 nucleotides) under uncultured bacterium. Its description in RNAcentral is "partial 16S ribosomal RNA". It matches the Rfam family "Bacterial small subunit ribosomal RNA", at positions 29 to 526 of the family's 1533-position model. The record is from RNAcentral.